ACAUGCAGAGAACUUUCCUAGAGAUGAGUUGUGGCCUUCGGGAACUCUGACACAGGUGCUGCAUGGCUGCCGUCAGCUCGUGUCGUGAGAUGUUGGGUUAAGUCCCGUAACGAGCGCAACCCUUGUCCUUAGUUACCAGCACGUUAUGGUGGGCACUCUAAGGAGACUGCCGGUGACAAACCGGAGGAAGGUGGGGAUGACGUCAAGUCAUCAUGGCCCUUACGGCCUGGGCUGCACACGUGCUACAAUGGUCGGUACAAAGGGUUGCCAAGCCGCGAGGUGGAGCUAAUCCCAUAAAACCGAUCGUAGUCCGGAUCGCAGUCUGCAACUCGACUGCGUGAAGUCGGAAUCGCUAGUAAUCGUGAAUCAGAAUGUCACGGUGAAUACGUUCCCGGGCCUU
Molecule: ribosomal RNA, 400 nt
Filed under: uncultured Pseudomonas sp.
Lineage: Bacteria; Pseudomonadati; Pseudomonadota; Gammaproteobacteria; Pseudomonadales; Pseudomonadaceae
Description: bacterial SSU rRNA
Rfam family: Bacterial small subunit ribosomal RNA
Source: RNAcentral